RNAcentral lists this ribosomal RNA (273 nucleotides) under uncultured bacterium. RNAcentral describes it as "partial 16S ribosomal RNA". It matches the Rfam family "Bacterial small subunit ribosomal RNA", at positions 82 to 354 of the family's 1533-position model. The record is from RNAcentral.
CUUCCGCCGGCGACCGGCGCACGGGUGAGUAACACGUAUGCAACCUGCCCCUGUCAGGGGGACAACCCGCCGAAAGGCGGGCUAAACCCGCGUACAUGCCACCGGGGCAUCCCGGAGGCAGGAAAGGCUUCGGCCGGACAGGGAUGGGCAUGCGGCGCAUUAGGCAGUAGGCGGGGUAACGGCCCACCUAACCGACGAUGCGUAGGGGUUCUGAGAGGAAGGUCCCCCACACUGGUACUGAGACAUGGACCAGACUCCUACGGAAGGCAGCAG